GAGUUUGAUCUUGGCUCAGGAUGAACGCUAGCUACAGGCUUAACACAUGCAAGUCGAGGGGCAGCAUGAACUUAGCUUGCUAAGUUUGAUGGCGACCGGCGCACGGGUGAGUAACACGUAUCCAACCUGCCGAUGACUCGGGGAUAGCCUUUCGAAAGAAAGAUUAAUACCCGAUGGCAUAGUUCUUCCGCAUGGUAGGACUAUUAAAGAAUUUCGGUCAUCGAUGGGGAUGCGUUCCAUUAGCUUGUUGGCGGGGUAACGGCCCACCAAGGCAUCGAUGGAUAGGGGUUCUGAGAGGAAGGUCCCCCACAUUGGAACUGAGACACGGUCCAAACUCCUACGGGAGGCAGCAGUGAGGAAUAUUGGUCAAUGGGCGCUAGCCUGAACCAGCCAAGUAGCGUGAAGGAUGACUGCCCUAUGGGUUGUAAACUUCUUUUAUAUGGGAAUAAAGUGCAGUAUGUAUACUGCUUUGCAUGUACCUUAUGAAUAAGGAUCGGCUAACUCCGUGCCAG
This 512-nucleotide ribosomal RNA is filed under the name uncultured microorganism. RNAcentral describes it as "bacterial SSU rRNA". It matches the Rfam family "Bacterial small subunit ribosomal RNA", at positions 9 to 511 of the family's 1533-position model. The record is from RNAcentral.